RNAcentral lists this microRNA (23 nucleotides) under Salmo salar (Atlantic salmon). Its description in RNAcentral is "ssa-miR-139-3p". Its record names the gene ssa-miR-139-3p. Lineage: Eukaryota; Metazoa; Chordata; Actinopteri; Salmoniformes; Salmonidae. The record is from miRBase by way of RNAcentral.
UGGAGAUAUGGCUCUGUUGGAAU